Molecule: long non-coding RNA, 202 nt
Filed under: Elaeis guineensis (African oil palm)
Lineage: Eukaryota; Viridiplantae; Streptophyta; Magnoliopsida; Arecales; Arecaceae
Description: long non-coding RNA (EGUI_LNC077457)
Source: RNAcentral
UUCCGACGGUGAUCAGAUUGCGGCGAUCUACUACCCGCACAAAGGUAUUGUGUUCUGAACACAUUACAGUAAAGUGUUUACUGUUCGAAUUUGAAUUUCAAAUUUAAAUGAAUGUAUGCUAUAUAUCAUAUUUAGAUCCUAGUGUAGGAUAAAUUUAUGCUAAUUAAUUAGAUUAAUUAAUAUUUUUCUGUUGUAAAAUCAU